CAUGGCGGGACGGUGCGGACGCGGCAGGUGCGGCGCAGAGCGGGAGGCAUCGGGAACGGGAACGGGACUGGGAAUGGCCCGGCGCAAGGCCGGGCCGGGUCGGGCCGCCUCCAGUGUGCUCCUGUGUCCGUGUCUGCCCGUCUGGGCACUACCGGGGCCGGUCGGGUUGGAGAGUGUGGUAUAAAGUACUGAGACCAUGCAGUCGUUGGGAGCCAAGAGCAUCACUAGUGUAUUGUUAUUAUCUCCAGACCCAAGAGAUGUCACCUGCUCCUGCCAGGAACACAACACAGUUGACUAGGAUAAGAAAACUUUUGGCCAAAAUUCACUGAGCGAUCCGUAUCUAAGACAAACACAAAUUGCUGGUGCCUGUUAGCCUUGCAGAAGUUGACUGUAGGAACAUCUGGAUUAAUGCAAGUCACGAGGAUGGUGAUGGAUGCUGCUGCUGCUGCUGCAAGAUGUACAAAAAUAGAGUUGCUUUGCCCUACCACAUGUAUGACUGGAUAAUUAGAAACGUGCACUAGUGGGUAAUUAGGUGGUUCAUGUCAUUCCCUUGUAUAAAACCCCUAAAGAAAAAUCUCUGGGGUGUGCCCAGUUUGGCUCAGGCACCUUAUGCACGCGAAUAAAUAUUUACUUCUAUAAUU
Molecule: long non-coding RNA, 641 nt
Organism: Corapipo altera (White-ruffed manakin)
Lineage: Eukaryota; Metazoa; Chordata; Aves; Passeriformes; Pipridae
Exons: 2
Source: RefSeq, a predicted model, not a curated record